RNAcentral lists this ribosomal RNA (502 nucleotides) under uncultured bacterium. Its description in RNAcentral is "bacterial SSU rRNA". It matches the Rfam family "Bacterial small subunit ribosomal RNA", at positions 8 to 507 of the family's 1533-position model. The record is from RNAcentral.
AGAGUUUGAUCCUGGCUCAGAUUGAACGCUGGCGGAAUGCUUUACACAUGCAAGUCGAACGGCAGCACGGGGCAACCUGGUGGCGAGUGGCGAACGGGUGAGUAAUACAUCGGAACGUGCCCAAUCGUGGGGGAUAACGUAGCGAAAGUUACGCUAAUACCGCAUACGAUCUACGGAUGAAAGCGGGGGAUCGCAAGACCUCGCGCGAAUGGAGCGGCCGAUGUCAGAUUAGGUAGUUGGUGGGGUAAAGGCUCACCAAGCCAACGAUCUGUAGCUGGUCUGAGAGGACGACCAGCCACACUGGAACUGAGACACGGUCCAGACUCCUACGGGAGGCAGCAGUGGGGAAUUUUGGACAAUGGGCGCAAGCCUGAUCCAGCCAUUCCGCGUGCAGGAUGAAGGCCUUCGGAUUGUAAACUGCUUUUGUACGGAACGAAACGGUCUGCCCUAAUACGGUGGGCUAAUGACGGUACCGUAAGAAUAAGCACCGGCUAACUACGUG